Molecule: long non-coding RNA, 18467 nt
Filed under: Brassica napus (rape)
Lineage: Eukaryota; Viridiplantae; Streptophyta; Magnoliopsida; Brassicales; Brassicaceae
Description: long non-coding RNA (BNAP_LNC019208)
Source: RNAcentral
CCAGUGCACAAUACUCCCUGUCCCACCAUGCUUAGGGGUCACCUGGAGCGUGGCCAAGAAGCUUUUGUACUCUUUCAUCAGAUCACCUUCUAUAACCCUAAACGAGAUCAGGUUCGUCUCCGGAUCCACCUCUUCGAUCCUCUCCUUUGCCACCUUUGCCUCUCCAUCUGCAACAUUUAUUAGUAGUUAAUGUUUAGGUUUUGAGAAUCGACUAGUCAGUGAAACCUAAGAUCGAUAUACACUAGACUCGUCUCUUGUUAGUCACUGCAAAAAUCUUACAAGGCCUCUACAUGCUCCAAAAUUUAAUUUAAGUAAAAUUAUAUAGAAUAAAACGUUAACUUGCCAUGAAAGUAGUUCCAGAAGAUGAUAGAGCCGGGUUUGCCCCAAUCUCCUUCGUGCAAUUCACAGCCCUGAAUGUUGCCUGGAGAUACUUUGGAAACAUGGUGUGGUUUCGCUGUGAACAUGUGAUGAAACUUCUCAGCGGAAGCUUUGAUCUCCACGUAUGCCUCAAGCUUCCCCAAUAAGCUAGACGUCUCUGUUGUCUUCACCUCCUCUUCCGCCGGUUUGCUUGUAGCCUCAACCUUUUUAGUUGGUGCCACCGUCACUGGCGUCUCCUCCUCUUCCUCCAUUUUCUUGGCAAUUUCAGUAGCAGCCUCCGCCAUUCUAUCUCUUGAUGAUUUGGUUAGAAAAUUAGAGGUUUUCUGAGAGUCUGAUAUUCUUUUUAUGAGUGAGUUCUCUUUGGAAUUCUAUACCCCUAUAUAUUGAGGAAUUAGUGGGAAACUAUUGGAGACAAAAAAAAUACACAUUUUUUGUGUGGCCAACGCCAUCAUUCAUUGAGUCUAUGACCAACAAAGGUAACGAAAAGAUAAAGAUGAAUUAUUUCCAUUAAAUGUUUCCACCUACUGUUUUCAAUGCCUGUCUAGGUUUUUCUUUUGUAAAAAUUCACAUAUAUAAAUUAACCAUUACGCAAAGAAAAAACAGUGAAUUAUUUGCGUUGUUUAUAUAUUAAAUUUCCGAUGAGGUAUCUAAUAUAUUACAAAAGAAUAAAGAAUCCCGUGUGUAAGUGUAUUUGAUUUGGAAAUGCGUUUAUAAACACUCCCCCAAGUUCGAAGGAAUCCUAGUACUACUAGCAACAACAACAUUUGCACGUUGGAAAGCAGGGAAUGGGGUUUGUCCACAAUAGGCUACCCUGUAAAGCAGGUUGAACCAGGUUCCUCCAAAUCGGUGCUAAAACCAGGCUCGUUUUUGACAGCCCGAUAAAAGAGCAGGCUCUGAUACCAACUAAUGAAACAGAAUGAUAGAACUAGAGAUCUAAUACUCUAGAAAGCUAGAAUAGUAAUAACAGUUAUUUGUUUAGUGUAAGAAUUCUCGAAUAAAAGUUUCUUAGCGCUUGAGACUAUUUAUAUGUAAACAUAAAAAUUAUAAAACCCUAAUCCUAAUUAAAAUAAAAACUAUUAAAAUAAAAAUAAAAUAAAUAAAUAGUAAAUAUCCUAAUUUUAAGCUGCAUCAACGGCCCAGUUCUAAAAGUCGGUGGGCUGAGUUUUCUCUGUAGGGCUGACUCAUUAAUGGAAUUAGUCAGAAGUCUCCACUGAACAGAAGCUAUGGAAGGGAUUAGGAGACAAGUUACAUUUUAUGGUUUUCUAACUUUGUAAGGACUUGUGUGUAUUUGUGUAUACAUAAGAGUUUUGAUCUUGCCAAGACAUCACAAAACCAGUCCAACAAAAAGACAAUAACCUGGUGAUAAAAAUAAAUAACCAUAACAACAUCAUUUUCAGUGGAAAAUCUCUCAAAAUAUAUGAUUCAUAUGAUAUUAACAUAAUUAUUUUUUUCUUAUAAUUUAUCUACAAACAUAUAUCACAAGCUUUUAUUAAGACUAAACAUAACAUAUCCACACAUGUAGAAUACAACACCUAUAUUAUUAUUGUGAUAUAACAAACCAAAUCACACAUUGGAGAAUUAUACAAAGAGACUAAUAUAUAAAGAGUUGUCCAAUUCUAAUAGUACGAGGUCUUUUGGGAAGGAAACCAAAAAUAAAACCAUGCGGGCUUGCCUAAGGCCCACAGUGGACAAUACCGUACUAAUCGGAUAAUACAGAGUUGGGCAUGGGCUUAAUAAAUCCCAACAAUUGGUAUCAGAGCGGUUGACGAGAAAUUUAAAAGAAGACCAAAAUACCCUUCGAGUAGGAACGAGACCCAUUGAGUUAGGAUUGGGAGGUGUGUGUGACAGAUAUCAAGUCAAAAAGAUCCUGGAAGUCAAUUGUGGGACACGAGUUUAACAAUCAGAUAAUAUAGAGUUGAACAUGAGUUUAACAAUCCCAACAAUUGGUAUCAGAGCCACACACAAACUAACUAAGAAACUGCAACUAUGGACGACAUCAAAGAAGCGAUCAUCAAGAACAAAGACACCGGCCCAGCUGCUGUCAAAUUCCCGAUGUUAUCUUCUUCAAACUAUACUGUCUGGUCCAUGAGAAUGAAGAUAGCACUUAAGGUCUGUGAGGUGUGGGAAACAAUUGAUCCCGGAUAAAAGGAUGAGAAGAAAAACAAUAUGGCUAUAGCGUUCUUAUUUCAAUCCAUACCCGAAGCCUUGAUUCUACAAGUUGGCGACAUUGAUACAUCGAAGGGGGUGUGGGAAGCGAUACGAGCACGCCAUGUGGGAGCUGAGAGAGUCAAAGAAGCCAGAUUGCAAACCCUAAUGGCAGAAUUUGAUAUACCCAAGAUGAAAGAUGAAGACACAAUCGAUCUCUUUGCUGGAAAACUUGCUGAAAUCUCAUCAAAAUCCGCUUCUUUAGGUGAGACAGUUGAAGAACCCAAACUUGUGAAGAAAUUCCUAAAAAGCUUGCCAAGAAAGAAAUACAUUCAUAUGGUUGCCUCUCUUGAGCAAGUCCUUGAUCUUAACAUCACCAGCUUUGAGGAUAUAGUCGGUCGCUUGAAAGCAUAUGAGGAAAGAAUCGCCGAAGAGGAAGAUGAUACACACGACGAUCAAGGAAAAUUGAUGUAUGGUGACACGAGUCAAGAAAGUCAUGGAGGAAGCUAUAGUAGUGGACGAAGUCGUGGCCGAGGUGGUAGAUCUAACUGGAGAGGAAGGGGCCGUGGCCGUAACGGAUCAUCGUUCCAAAGUCAAAAAGAAGCAUUCAAACAACGUCAAAGUGGAGACAUAUCUCACAUCACGUGUUUCAGCUGUGAUAAACAAGGUCACUAUGCGACUGACUGUCCGAACAAGAAACUCAAAUUUCAAGAAACCGUGGAGAGAAAGGACGACGACACUCAAGAUGCUGAUGAGUUGAUGGUACACGAGGUCGUCUAUCUUAAUGAAAAAAAAUAAACCCUGCUAUGUUCGAGGCUAAUCAAGAUACAGAGAAGAUAUGGUAUCUAGAUAAUGGUGCUUCAAAUCAUAUGUGUGGUGAUCGGCUGUUCUUUUACAAGCUUGAUGAAACGGUGACAGGAAAGGUAAGGUUCGGAGAUGAUUCGCGGAUCGACAUAAAAAGAAAAGGUUCUAUUCGGUUUGUGUUUGAUGGAGGUGAGAAGAAGAUAUUAAAUAAUGUGUACUACAUUCCGGGACUUAGGAGCAAUAUAAUUAGCUUGGGACAAGCUACCGAAUUUGGAUGUGAGGUUCGUAUGAAAGACGACACCUUAACAUUGUUUGACAAGCACGGAGACCUCAUGGUUCGGACUGCUCGGACUACAAGUCGACUCUACAAAGUGAUCUUGAACGUUGACCGCAUACAAUGCCUUCAGUUAUCAGCAGCUUCAGAGUCAACCCUGUGGCACGCACGUCUCGGCCAUGUCAACAUCGAGACGUUGAGGCUAAUGGCGAGAAAGGAACUAGUCACUGGCUUACAAGAGACCAUGAUCAAAACUGAAGCAUGCAUAUCUUGCUUACUUGGAAAGCAAGCAAGAAAGCCAUUCCCACAAGCAACAGCGUUUCGAUCUACUAAUCCUCUUGAUCUCAUCCAUGGAGACUUGUGUGGCCCAAUUUCUCCAACCACACCAGCUCAGAAGAGAUACGUGUUGGUGCUCAUAGACGAUAAUACAAGAUAUAUGUGGACCGCGUUGUUGAAAGAAAAGAGCGAAGCAUUCGAAAAGUUUAGAAACUUCAAGAAGCUUGUUGAACAAGAAACGCAGAGUAAGAUCAAGAUGCUUCGAACAGAUAGGGGAGGAGAAUUUACAUCUCAUGAGUUCAAUGCAUUCUGUGACAAGAACGGUAUAAAGCGACACUUAACUGCACCCUACACACCUCAACAGAACGGAGUGGUUGAGCGACGAAACCGUACCCUUAUGGAGAUGACAAGGAGUGUCUUGAAACACAUGAACGUACCAAACGAACUGUGGGGCGAGGCAGUAAGACACUCAACGUACCUGAUCAACCGUGUGGCUACAAGAUCAUUGGAAGGGAAAACACCAUAUGAGAUGUUGCGCUUGAUGAAACUGAACAUCAGUCACCUCAAGGUCUUCGGAUGCAUCUGCUAUGCGAGAACAGAGACGCCAGGAAGGAAAAAUCUCGAUGAUAGAACGAGAAUGCUGGUCCAUUUGGGAACUGAACCAGGGUCAAAAGCCUACAGGUUACUAGACCCAGUUACCAAGAGGAUAAUAGUAAGCCGUGAUGUACACUUUAUCGAAGAUAAAGAGUGGAAUUGGAAAGAAACAGAGCAUCCCAACCCGGGAGAGUUUGUUGUUAAUAUAAAGACAAAGGGUGAUGACGAAGAAGAAGAAGAGGGAGCUGAGAGUGAACCUGGUGUUGAUGAAGAAGAAGACUAUGAAGAGUAUACAGUUGAGGAAGAGAGUAAUCCUCAACUCUUAAGGCGAUCACAACGAGUUAGUACAAGACCGUCUCACUUUGACGAUUAUGUUCUUCUAGCUGAAAUUGAGAGCGAGCGGCUGCUGAUGGUUAUAAAUGAAGAACCGUGGGAUUACGAUGAGGCUAAGAAGCUUAAGGUCUGGAUUGAUGCGUGCAAGGAUGAGAUCUUGUCUAUAGAAAAAAAAAUAAAACGUGGGAUCUCGUCUGUUUACCUGCAGGAGUGAAGCCUAUUGGUCUAAAGUGGGUCUUUAAGGUAAAGUGUAACGCAGAUGGUAGUAUCAAUAAGUUUAAGGCUCGACUCGUGGCAAAGGGAUACAUCCAGAAGCAUGGUGUUGAUUAUGAUGAGGUCUUCGCACCAGUGGCUCGCAUUGAGACAAUACGCUUGAUCAUUGGAUUGGCUGCUUCAAGGAGGUGUGUGUGGCAGAGAUUAAGUCAAAAGAUCCUGGAAGUCAUUUAUGGGACACAAGAUGAAUGUGAUCCUUAGUUUGAAGGGGGAGAAUGUGAUAUAACAAACCAAGUCCCACAUUGGAGAAUUAGACAAAGAGAGUCUAAUAUAUAAAGAGUUGUCCAACUCUAAUAGUACGAGGCCUUUUGGGAAGGAAACCAAAAAUAAAACCAUGCGGGCUUGCCUAAGGCCCAAAGUGGACAAUAUCGUACUAAUCGGAUAAUACAGAGUUGGGCAUGGGCUUAAUAAAUCCCAACAAUUAUAUCACCGAUCUGUUUAGGACACGACUCCUUAUUUAUUGUACUUUUAUAGACUAAAACACACAUAUGCUUCAUUGCACACAUAUAUGGAUAGGGUACUACAACUAAAGAACACUCUUCUCUAGUCCUCAUUCAGGAGAUGUUCAUCUAUCUCUUUGGAAACUUGAACACAGAACUCAAUGAAAGUCUCAGGGUGAGCCACUCUCUCGUCAAUUUUCUCAUACUCAACGUGCCAGUGCACUGUACUCCCAGGUCCUUCCUGUUUAGGAGUCGCCUGGAUGGUGAUGACAAAGCUCUUAUACUCUUUUAAUAAAUCUCCCUCUAUCACCCUAAAAGUGAUCAAAUUUUUCUCCGGCUCCACUGCCUCAAUCCUUUCUUUCGCUACCUUUGCCUCCCCAUCUGCACCAAAUAAAUAUUAAUAUAUGUUUCGGUUUUGACUCUGGGAAUCGUUAAGAAUUUUAGUUCCUGAACAUACUAUAAGAAGGUACAUGUAAUUCAAUCGAAUGAUGGUAGACAAAUGGUGAGUAUUUAACAGUAAUUGUCAUACCAUAUACAUAUGAGUUUUGUUAAGUUUAUAGGUUUCAACUCAUAACCAAUUAGCAAUAAUUGGAUCUGUCUAUUAUUUUCUAACAAGAAUUAAUAAUAUAUAGUAUUGUAUGAUAUAAUCAAUAAAGUGUAACUUCGACUUGCCAUGAACAUAAUUCCAAAAGACGAUAGAACCAACUUUUCCCCAUUCGCCUUCAUGCAGAUCACAACUCCGAAUAUUGCCUGGAGAUGCUUUGGAGACAUGGUGUGGUCUACCAGCAAACAUGUGAUGGAACUUCCCAGCAGAGGCCUUGAUGUCAACAUCAACCUCAAGCUUCCCAACCAAACUUGACACUUCUGUCUUCCUCAUAUUAUGUGCAGCCCCGGCCAUUUUUGUCGCCAUUUUUAUCUCCCGUUGAUAUUUUCUUGAGAACUAGAAGGAUUUUGAGAGAGGAUGAGUUCCUUUUGAGUUCUUUAGCCUUUUUUGUAGAGGAGUGAGUGAGGUAACGGUUUGAGAAAAGACAAAAUGUUUAUUAAUUGCUAUUUUGUAUCCCUUGUGAUCAUGACCCGAUCAUCUUUACCUCACCUACUGAAUUUCUGUAAAUGGAUCAGGAUUAUUUAACGUUGUACAUAAGAAUUAUCGCUCAAUACCACACAGUUGAUCACGUCUACUGUUUUAAAAUUUUCGUUUUGAAGUAUUUCUUAUUGGCAGGUAGUGUUAAUAAUACACACUUUGUAUUCUCGAAAUAAAUAUUUUUCCGAUGAAAAUUUCAUAAAAUUUAUAAAUACUUUGAAAUGAUCCUAAAUAGAACUGUCGUUUGUUAAUGAAGACACGUUUAUUCAUAUGCAAAUGAAAAAAAUAUGUUAUCAACAAUGUUAUCAGAUAGAGAUAUGUUUAAAAUCAAUUUUUAAGUUCGAGUUAUUGGCAUCAAGACAGUAAAAUGCGGAAAUAUCCCCAACACAUACAAACACAUGUAACGUAGUUUUUUUAUCAACAAAAGAGGGAUACAAUGGAACAAUACUUAGGUUCACCCCUGUGGUGAAUGGUUAAAUUCACCAAAGUGUUGAUAACCAAUCAAAAUGCCAUGUAUUAAUAGUUAAAAAAGACAAUAAAAAUAAAAAUAAAAUAGCUGGAAAAAAAACAACACCACCAUUAAUUAACGCCGUCUAAAAACUUAAACUCUAAAACCAUAAAUCAUAAAUCUGAAACACUAAACCAUAUAUAUCAAUCCUAAAAUCUUAACCCUAAAUCUUAAACCUUAAACUCAAACUCUAAACAAUAAACUUUAAAUCCUAAAAUCUAAACCCUAAACCCAAAACUCUAAACCAUAAACACUAAAAUCUAAACCCUAAAUCCUAAACCCUAAACUCAAAUCCUAAACUUUAAACCCAAAACUUCAAAUCCUAAACCCUAAACUCUGAAUCCUAAACCCUAAACUCAAACCUCUAAACCGUAAACCCAUCUGCUAGUUAAUAAGGUUAAGGUUUACGGUUUAGAGGUUUGGGUUUAGGGUUUAUGAUUUAGGGUUUGGGUUUAAAAUUUAAAGUUUUGGGUUUAGGGUUUAGGAUUUAGGGUUUAGGGUUUAGGGUUUGGGUUUAAGAUUUAAAGUUUUGGGUUUAGGGUUUAGAAUUUAAGGUUUAGAUUUUAUGAUUUAGAGUUUAGGGUUUAGAGUUUAGGGUUUAGGCUUUAGGGUUUAAAUUUUAGGAUUUAGGGUUUAUUGUGUAGAGUUUGAGUUUAGGGUUUAAGAUUUAGGGUUUAGAUUUUAGGAUUGGGGUUUAUGGUUUAGUGUUUUAGAUUUAGGGUUUAUGUUUUUAGAGUUUAAGUUUUUAUAAUUUAGAAUUUUGCAGAUGGCGCUAAUUAAUGUCGGUCUUGUUUUUUUUCAGCUAUUUAAUUUUUUAUUUUUAUUACCUUUUUAAGAUAUUCCUACAUGGCAUUUUGGUUAGUUAUAAAGAGUGUGGUGAAUUUAACAUUUCACCAUAGGGGUGAACCUAAGUAUUGUUCGAUACAAUGACGUCGUCAGAUGUUAUUUGUCUAUAAAUGUGAUAUAAUAAUGUAAAGGUAAAAUAGUAAAAAUCUCAUUUUUUUGUCAACAUAUAAAAAAUCUAAUUUAUCACUAUAAUUUCACUAUUUUCGUAGUUUUUUUUUAUGAUUAGACGUUUGCAAGAACAUCUUUGUUUCAAGUAUUUCAUUUUAAUUUUCUUAAAGUGGAAAAUAAAAAAAAACUAUUGUGUGGAUCUCUCAAAGUACUAGGAAAAAAUGAGGAACUUUUGUGUGCUGUUCAAGUAUUCGAGGGAUCCACAUAUAUUUUUUGAACUAGACAAAACUACAAUCUUAUAGUAUAUCAACAUGUAUAAUUAAUCUAUAAGCUUCAUUUGUUAUUCCUCGGUUGCAGUCCCUUUCUACUUCAACAAAUCACGAAGCAGAAUGCUUAAUUUAUUUAUUAAACAUAUAUGAUUUUAUUAUAAACAAUCAGUUCAUACAUUAAUUUUGAGUAGCUUCAUAGCUGAUGCUGCUACACUUAGCUUCUCAAACAUAACAACUUCCAAACACUCAUGACACACAUAUCUCUUGACAAACUCGGACAAGGCGGCUCCUGAGUCCUUAUUCAUUUCAAAUUCAGAGACUGAACUUUAAGGCAAACACACCAAUAGAAGUAUGGAUAUGAUUGAAACAAGAGAAUUCUUCCUCUAUUCUUCGGACAUGAGAUGUGCAUCGAUCUCUUUGGAGACCUCUACGGCAAACUGGAGGAGAGUCUCAGGGUGAGCCACCUCCUCAUUAAUUUUCUCGUACUCAAAGUGCCAAUGUAAAAUGCUUCCAGGUUCUCCUUCCUUAGGGGUCACUUGAAAGGUGACCACGAAACUCUUGUACUCGUUCAUUAAAUCACCCUCUAACACCCUGUAUGUGGCCCGAUUGUUCUCCGGGUCUAUUGACUCGAUCCUCUCUUUCAUUACUUUUGCCUCCCCAUCUGACCAUAUAUAACACAUUGACACAUAAUUAUCGGUUUGAGAUUGUUAGAAAUCUUAUAUCUAAACAAGACCAGACAUAAUAUAAUGUGUAAAAUAAUAUAUAUGAAUGGAUCAAUCCACCCGUUUCAAAUUGGUUUCCUUCAAAAGUGGAUAUAUUUUAAUAUGGAUCCGCUAUGAAUGUAUUCACAUAUAUAACUAGAUAAUUAUAACGCUGACUUGCCAUGAAAGUAAUUCCAGGUCACGAUAGAACCAACUUGGCCUAUCUCGCCUUCAUGCAGCUCACAGCUCUGAAUGAAGGAUGGAGAUGCAUCGGGCAUAUGGUGCUUUUUCCCGACAAGCAUGUCAUGCAACUUCUCCGGCGUAGAUUUUACCUCCACGGUUGUCUCAAUGAUCCCGACCAAACUUGAUGCUUCUUCUGCCAUUCUUGAUCUUUCGAUAAUUUGCAAAUGUGUCUUUAGGGUUUUGCGUUUUGAGAAUGAAUGUGUUCCCUUCUAAGCUCUUCACACCCCCUUUAAAUAGAAGAACGAAUGAAGCGAGAAAUACACUGGAAUUUAUUUUAUACUUUAUAAUUUUGAUUGGUUCUUUCUUCUCUUUGAUCACGUUAACCCAUCUGGCGCUAAUUGAUAAGACUGGAUUAUAAGAUAAUUUAUAAAAAAAAACUGUAAACGGUAAAGCUAUAUAAAAUACAUUCGUAGCUCGUGUCAUACAUAAUAUUUUGAAUAAGUAUUAUUAGUGGGAAAGCAGUCAGUUUCGUGAGUCUUAAGAAAAUAAGAUAAAACGAUGUGGGUUUAGGGUUUCAUAAAUCAUUAACAAUAUUGGUUAACCAAGGGAUUACGUAGUGCAACCAUCGGUUUGCAUCUACGAUAUACACUGUUUGUGUCAAUUUAAUUUAGACAUAAAUCAUAAUUCGGAGUACUUUGAAGAGGACCUACGAAUGGUAUAGCGUGGAUGUGACUGAAACUAUACUUAAAAAAAAAAGAAAUCAUUCAAGUUAUUCGAUGACUCAGUUCAUUUCAGUUUUAAAUUGAUAAAUUUCUUGAAAAGUUCUUACUCCGAAAAUAUAAAGAAUUUUUUUGUCCAUAAAGAAUUCAUAUAUCUGGAUAAUCCCUAAAUGAUCUUCCUUCUGUCAAUCCUACAAGAUCAUAUCUUUUGUAAAGGGGUACACGUUAUUACAUAAUUUCAAAAGAUAAAUAAGCAUUAUUAUAAAUUGAGAAAGAUUGUUUAUCCCGCAGCUGUAUCUCUUGAAAAGGAACAGAAACCAUUUUUUGGGUCAAAAUUCAGAAUUUAAAAUAUCUUCCAUUCUGUCUAUAGUAAGGUCCAAAUUUUGUUUUUAAUAUGUUUGUUCACUAACCAAUAGGUCAUAGCUGUUUUGACUUUUGAUCAAAUAUAUACAUCAAUCGUCAUUAUUGUAAUUAUAAAAUUAUAUAUGUUUGGUAUGACAUAAAAUAAUGUCUACUAGGCAACGUGUGGACAGUUUGAAAAAGUUUGAUAAAGUCACAAUCGGAUAUUGAUUUUAGUUAAUCAAUUUUGUAAAGUCUAUGGAGAAUUUGAUACUAAUCAAAGCACAAUAUAUUUUUUGUUCAUUUUGAUUAAGCCUAAUUUUGAUGGAUCAUGUUUUAGUUUAUAUGAGGCUACUAGAGAUUUUAUGCUCAGGUAUAGAAACUUCAAAACAUCAAUUAUAGAGUCACUUAGAUAUGAUGUGCGUUGUAUGAGGCUAUACCAUAGGAAUUGAUUAUGAAUAAUUUGAGAUGUACAAAUUUAACUAUAUGAUGUAUUUUUUGUGUAUGUAUCACAUGAGAAAACUUAUGUUAGUUAUAGAAUAUGCGGUACUGGAUAUGGAGUAGAGGAUAAAUGAAUGACUGUAUUAUUUUAUGCAUCAUUGAAAAAGUUGUUGCACUAAAAACAUCCAAGGAUUCAGAUAAGUACAUGUGAUUAAAAAGUUGCUUGGCUAAUUAACCACAUGAUUUUGAUAAGAACAUCUUCAUCUCAUGUUACUCUCUGACCAUCUCAAAGUUAAACAAAUACAUUUCUUAACCAAAUCAUUUCUUACGUCAAACCAAUCAAAGUUAGCUAGUUUAGCAUUAUUAAUGUUAUUGUUCAUAAAUUAUCAGGACGAUCCAUCAAAAACCAUAAUUCACACAUGGCUUACAUAGAACCAACCGUUAUAAACAAAGCAAUAACAAUAAUUAUGCUAUACUAGUUAACUUUGAUCAAUGGCACCGGCUUCGUCAAUGGUUUGAACGAUAACAGUUUGAGCAUUCCUCUAAAUUUAUCCUCACUUAUAAGCAUGACUGAUUUUAGUUUUUCAAAUAUACUACAUAAUCCAUAAAAGAAACUCCUUCCUACAUCCUCAAGUAAAUCUAAUAUGUUAAUUAAUUAGACUACACAAACAACAAUCUGAUAGUAUAUAUUUAUUCUAUAGGCUUUAUAUCCUUCAUAAAAAAGUUAUGUUAAUAAAAUAUAACGGUGGGUGCUAUGUUACAUAGGGUUUUGUUUGUUAACUUAUACUCUCAGUUAAUUGUACCUUACAAUUGUAAGGUACAACGUAAAGAAUAAGGUAUCUUUCUUUCUAUUCCCGUUCUUCCCGUUUAACUUUCAUCACGACUCAGUUGUUAUUCCUCGGUCGCAGUCCCUUCUUAUCUUCAUCAAAUCACGAAGCAUAAUGCUUAAUUUAUUAAUUAAACAUAUAUGCUUUAACAAACAUUUCAUACAUCAAUUUCGAGUAGCUUCACAGCUAAUGCUGCUACAUUUUGCUUCUCCAAAGUAACAACUUCCAAACACUCAUGAGUCAUGACACACAAAUAGAAGUAUGGAUAAUGGGCUCCUCAGUCCUUAUUUAUAGCACUUUCAAAGACUGAAAUUUAAGGCAAAAACACACGAAUAGAAGUAUGGAUAUGUAGGAUUGAAACAAGAGAAAUCUUCCUCUAUUCUUCGGAACAGAGAUGUGCAUCGAGCUCUUUGGAGACCUCGACGGCAAACUGGAGGAGAGUCUCAGGGUGAGCCACCUCCUCAUUAAUUUUCUCGUACUCAAAGUGCCAAUGUACAACACUUCCAGGUUCUCCUUCCUUAGGGGUCACUUGUAAGGUGAUCACGAAACUUUUGUACUCGUUCAUUACAUCACCCUCUAACACCCUGUACGUGACACUAUUGUUCUCCGGGUCUAUUGACUCGAUCCUCUCUUUCAUUACUCUUGCCUCCCCAUCUGACCACAUAUUUAUAGGUUUGAGAUUGUUAGAAAUCUUGCAUUUGAAUAAGAUCAUAUAUGUAUAUAUAUGGAUCAAUCCAGCCGUUUCAAAUUGGUUUUGAUUCAAAAGUUAGUAUAUUUUAAUAUAGAUUCGCUAUGCAUGUAUUCAUAUAACUAGAGAAUUAUAGCGUUGACUUGCCAUGAAAGUAAUUCCAGGUUACGACAGAACCAACUUGGCCCAUUUCGCCUUCAUGCAGCUCACAGCCAUGAACGAAGGAUGGAGAUGCACUGGGAAUAUGGUGCUUUUUCCCGACAAACAUGUCAUGCAACUUCUCCGGUGAAGAUUUUAUCUCCACGGUGGUCUCAAUGAUCCCAACCAAACUAGAUGCUUCUUCCGCCAUUCUUGAUCUCCCGAUAAUUUUCAAAUGUCUCUUAAAGUUUUGAGUUUUGAGGAUGAAUGUGGAUCCCUUCUUAGCUCUUGACCUCCGUUUAAAUAGAAGAAUGAAUGAAGCGAGAAAUAGACUGGAAGUUAUUUUAUCAGUAAUAAUUUUGAUUAGUUAUUUUUUUCUCUUGAUCACGUUAACCCAUCUGGCGCUAAUUGAUAAGGCUAAAUUAUUAUAUACUAAUUAAUAUAAAAAAUGUAAACGCUAAUAUAUAAAAUAUCAUUCGUAACUCGUGUCACAAAAAGAAAGAAUGAUUAGUAGAAUUAGUGGGGGAGCAGUCAGUUCGCGAGCCUAAAAGAAAUAAGAUAAAAUGAUGUGGGUUUAGGGUUUCAUAAAUCAUGAACCAUAUUGGUUAACUUAAGAUAAAUGAAAUUAUUCAAAUUUUUCGAUGACACGAUUCUAUUCAGUUUUUUAAUUGAUAAAUUUCUUGAAAAGUUCUUACUCCGAAAAUAAUAAGUAUUUAUAUUUCUGGAUAAUCUCUAAACGAUCAUCCUUCUGACAAAUCCUAUAAGAUAUAUUCCGUAAAUGGAUUACACGUUGUUAUUUCAUUAUUUUAAAAGAUAAAUAAGUUUUAUAGGUUGAAAAAGAUGUUGUUUAUCCGGGAGCUGUAUCUCUUGAAGUGGAACGGAAACGGAAGUUCAGAAUUUAAAACAUCUCCCCAUUCUGAUUUAAGGUCCGGAAUUUAUUUUCAUGUGUUUGUUCACUAACCAACAGGUCACAGUUUGACUUUUGAUCAAAUAAACAUACUUAUCAAACUUCAUUAUUAUAAUAAUAUCUCCUUUCAGUAUAUGAUAAAAGAUAAUGUCUACCAUGCCCCGUGUAGACAAAGUUUUGAAAAAUUAUUUGGUAAAGUCACCAUGGAUAUUGAUUUUAGUACUAUAUAUAAAUUGUGUAAAGUCUAGGGAGAAUUGGUAUUAAUCAAAUCGAAAAAUUAUUUUUGUUGAUUUUGAUGGCUCAUGUUCUAGUUUAUCUGUGGUUACUAGAGAUUUUAUUUAUUCCAUGGAGCUUAGGUAUGAUAUGAAGGUUGCAUUAGAAGCUAGUCUCAGAGGAACAAAAGUGAAGGCUCGCCUCGUGAAACUUGUGAAAGUCAAUUGAUGCAAGAGUCUUGUUUCACUUCUCCAAUAGUGUAGAUGCGUCUUUCCUCGAUCUCACCACAAUAGGUGAGGUCGAGAAGCGUCUACCCUUGUCUGAAACAGAGGUACAAUCUAUUUCUUCUCUGCACCGAAGAGAAAGCAAUGACACAUGUCUGAGUACAUACACUGAUACACAUAACACAACUCCCUUAAACCAUGAAAGCACAUUAUCAUAAACACACACUUCAACUUAUAUAAAACAUAGCUUCUCUGACCUCAUGGCCGAGUAGAGGUAAGAAAUUUUCCUUAGCUUUAGUUCGUGAGAUAUGUUCUGUCCUGAGCAUAUGAACUCCAAAGAACACAGCGCUUUAAAAAUUCAACAAAUCACCGAUCUGAAAAGGAUGAUGUAAAGAUAGUAAACAAACAAACGUAGCUAGUCAAAGAUCUAAAGAACACCUACACAUGGAGAAGAGCCACUAAAUUCCACAAUAAUCUGAAAAGUUUCCGUGUCAAAGCCUCUCAUACUAGUAAAAGUUUUCAUCUUCGAAUCAAAACUCAAGCUCAGACUCACAGUGAAGAUGGAUAUAAAGGAUGCACGACCAGCAUCAGAAGUUAGAAGACCAAGUGCUUGCAUCAGAUAACCUAAGCUAACCCAAAAACCUAACUCAAUCCCUGAGUUACGCGUUUCAGCAUCACUCAACGACCUUACAACAAAAGGUGUAAACGGAAUCGCAGCCACCAGGAAUCUCACAACACUCAUCAAAAGCUGCAGGAUCCAUGAUCCCUUCAACUUCUUUAACGACAGCGAUAUUACUACCAGCUUAUAAAACUUGUCUCUAUUCUAGUAAACACACUUUCCAUAGACGAUAGUAAUGGCAUUGAGCAAAAUGAUGCUCCUAAGUUUCGUUGAAGAAGACAAGAUCUUCCUCCACAGAGGUUCUGAGGGGUAAUCUCGUUUGAUGGAGGGUAGGGAUUUCAAGCUUGAAAUUCUUAAUAGGACUUAUGAUGACAUCAAUGCAAAUAGAUAACUUCAACUUUUCUCCUUAAUUAUAAUGAUAACUCUGCCCCUUUUUAACCUCUUCUUGUUUAGAAUAUGUCCCUUUAUUAUUAGUAUUAUCAAACGUACAACAAAUACUAGCAAACAUAAACUUGAAGUAGUCUUGCAGGAAGCUUUACUUCUUUUACACAUCGAUUUAAAUUAAAAACUUCAAACAUAACUCGGCCGUAAUAUUAUUCAUACACAGACGAGUCGACACACACCAAGUCACCAACAUAUACCUCUUACCCAGACUCGGACACAGCUCAUUAUUUAUUGAAAGCUUUGAAGGCACAAAGAUGCUCGGACACAGCUCAUUAUUUAUUGAAAGCUUUGAAGGCACGAAGAUGCACAAACUUAACAAACACACGAAGAGUAAUCCUCUAUUAUUCUGUCAAGAGAUAUUCAUCGAUAUCUUUUGACACUUCAACACUUAACUGGAGGUGACUUUCAGGGUGACCAACUUCUUCGCUGACUUUCUCGUACUCAAGGUCCCAGUGCACAAUACCACCAGGCCCUCCAUGCUUAGGGGUCACCUGGAUCGUGCUCACAAAACUCUUGUACAUUUUCAACAGAUCACUUUUAAUAACCCUGAACGUGAUCAGGUUCUUCUCCCGCUCCACCUCCUCGACCCUAUCCUUACACACUGUUGCCACUCCAUCUGCAUCAAUUGUUUAACUUUUUAUUUAUAUAGGUUGUUAGGGCAUUUACGAAUCAACGUAAUGUUAUUUUUAUAAGCAUAAGACUCUCAUCGACUUGUCAAUCAAAAUUUAGUAGAGUUUAUUGGUUGUUGUAUUUUAAUGGAUUUGAAAAUCCGAACUAAAUCUAGUGUUAUUGGUUCUAUGAUUUUAAAAUCUGUAUUAAAAUCAUGUGUUAUUGGUUUAAUGAUUCAUAAAUUCUAUAUCAAAUCAAGUGUUAUUCAAUCCUACGGAUUUACUAAUAUAUUUGAUUUUAUAAUGGAUUUGAAUGGAUUUGUUUGGAUUUUUUAGUUAAAAAUACAAAGACUCAAAUCCGAAGGAAAACUUCCGGAUUUACAUAUUUUACUUGGAUUUAUAAAUAUUAUAUGGAUUUCUAAAUCAAUCAAAAUGUAUAAACCAAUAACACCUCCUAAUCUCUGUUUCGGUUCUAAGCAUUUUUGUUACUAUUAGAUUCACAUUGCAAUUGUACAUUUACAAAAAAAAAUAGUUUAGACUUCGGUUUAGAAUCUAAUAGUUUUAAUAAAAUAAUAUACAUAUACAUAUACAAUGACUUGCCAAUAACGUAGCUCCAGAUGACCACUGAACCGACUUUUCCCCAGUCGCCUUCCUGUAGCUCACAGUUCUGGAUCUUGUCUGGAGUUGCUUUGGGCAGAUCGUGUACUCUUCCUGCCCACAUGUGAUAGGAACUUUUCAGCAGAAGAUUUUAUCUCGACAUCUGCCUCAAGCUUUCCCACCAAAUUAGCCGCUUCUGCCAUGAUUUUUGCUUACUAAAAUAAAAAGUUAGGACUUUUGGAAAGGAGUGAGUUAUAUUCAUGUUUUAUUUAGCCUCUAUAUGUAGAGCAAGAGUGAGCAACUGUCAAAGAAUAAAAAUUUUUUUUAUAGCACACUACUAAAACAUGUUUUUAUUUUUAAAAUAACAUAUACGAAGAAAAAUAGCACUAAGGUUAGUAGUUAGGAUUUAGGGUAUAUAAUUUAAAGUUUAAAGAAUAUAAUUUAAAAUAAUAUUAUCUAUUUUAUUUUUAAAUAAUUAUUUUGUAAAUACUUUAUAAGGUAAAUCUUCAAAAUAUAAUAUUUUUAUUUUGGGUAACUCUUUCAAAUAGAUAUUUUUAAGUUUCUAUCACAAAAAUAAUUUUAAUGAGAAAAAUGACUAAAAUAAAUUUCAUUAUUGAGGCAAGAGACAUUUAUACAGAUAUAUAAAUACAAAUAAAUAAUAAAAUAAAUAAUAAUAAAUAAAUAAAACUUUUAGUUUUAAAUUAUAUGUUUUCAAAUUCAAACUUAUUUAUAAACAAAUAAAAAUUUUAUUUUUUUCAAAUUAUUUUGUUUAAUUCGAAAAUACUUUUUGAAACUGUUUUUAAAAUUUUUAAUUUUAAUUUUUAAAAAUUUAAACGUUACUCCUAGAACUUCACCCUUAACUCUAAACUAUAAGUAUAUAUUAAUUAAUUUUAGGAGUAUAAAUGUAUAUUUACUUUUUAAUUAAAUAUUUUGGUCAUUUUAAUCUUUAAAAAUUAUAUUUGUGACAAAAAAAAACUUUUUUAGGAUUAUCAUAGAAAAUUUCUCUUUUAUUUUUCGUGUGGCCUUCCUAUAACUCGCAAUUUUGGACAGAGUCAGAUCGCUGAACAUGCUUUUGAAACAUUCCAAUGAAGCUUCCACAUGAUGGGAUCUCUUACAAAAAUUAUUUGUAUAUACAUAUGUGUAUUAUUACAUAGUAUUAAAUAUAUAUAAAUAGUCUAUAUAAUAAUAAAAUCGUUAAUAUAUUUCAUGUUAUACAAUAUGAAUAAGUUUAAUAAUAGAAUUAAUAUAAAUAUAUACUUUUAUUUUAGUGAAACUUAAUUUGAUUUUAAGUAAUAAUUUGUUUUACUAAAACGAGCAAAAAUAUGUGUAAUUUUAAAUAAAAUAAAAUAAAUAUUUUUAUUUUAAAUAAGACUUUCAAAAUUUGGACCGCCUCUAAUGGCAUCUCCAACGAUAUUCUAUUUGUUACUCUAAAAUGAAAGAAAAUAGAGUACGGAGUAAGAAAUGCUCCAAUCCAACUUCAUAUCUCAUUCUAUAAUAUAGUUUACUCCAUAAAUAGAAUAAUUUAUUUUUUAUUUGUUCAAUACUCUAUCAUAGAAUGAGAUAUGAAGUUUGGUUGGAGAGAUUUUACUUCCUUUUUUAUUCUAGUUUAAAAGAAAAAAAUGAAAUUUUAAAGUAGCAAACAUAAACAUAAUUUUUAAAAAAAAUUGAUAUUCAUCAUAUUUUUAGGUUAUUAUACCAAAUGUCCCUUUAUUAUUAACAAACGUACAUCAAAUACUAGCAAACAUAAACUUAAAGUAGUCUUGUAGGCAGCUUUAAUUGCUCUUAUUACACGUCGAUUCCAACUAAGAAACUUCAAACAUAACUCUGGCGUAGUAUUAUACAUACACGCGUGAGUUGACACUUGACACACACCACACCAUACACCUCGUACCCAAAGUCGGACAUUGCACAUUAUUCAUUGCAACUAUAACGACUUAAAGACUCACACAACACACACAAAGAGUAACCGUCUACUCUUCUGCCAAAAGAUAUUCAUCGAUAUCUUUUGAUAUUUCAACAGCAAGCUGGAGGAUAGUUUCAGGGUGACCAGCGUCUACGAUUAUUUUCUCGUACUCCAUGUGCCAUUUCACAACACUACCAGGCUCUCCAUGUUUAGGGAUCACUUGGAUUGUGGACACAAAACUCUUGAAAUCUUUCAUCAUAUCACCUUCUAUAACCCUGAACUUGAUCAGGUUCUUCUCCGGAUCCACUGCCUCGACCCUCUUCUUAGUCAUUGCUGCCUCUCCAUCUGCACCAAUUGUUAAACUUUUGCUUAUAUAGGUUGGGCUCCACAUCUGCCUCAAGCUUUCCCACCAAACUAGUCGCUUCCGCCAUGAUUUUUGCUUACUUUAGGAAAAUGUUAGGAUUUUUGGAGAGAAGUGAGUUAUCUUUUGAUUUCUUUAGCCUCUAUAUGUAGAGGAAUGAGUGAGCAAGUGUCGAAAAAUUGAACGAUAUUUUAUUCAUCAAAUAUAGGUUUUGAUUGGUAACAUG